UCGUAUAAAGUUCUAGAUAGUUACUGAUCAUGACAAUUUCUAUCUAUAUGUCUUGACCAAAUCUUGUGCCAGCAGUCGCGGUAAGACAAGAAAGACUAGUGUUAUUCAUCUUUAUUAGGUUUAAAGGGUACCUAGACUGUCGUUAUUGCCUUUGAGGUACGUAGCUGACUAGAGUUUUAUGUAAAAGAAUUGUACAUUUAGUGGAGUGAUAAAAUACUUUGAUACUUUGUAGACAGGUAAUAGCGAAGGCUAUUCUUUAUGUUUUAACUGACGUUGAGGGACGAAGGCAUUGUGUAAUAAAGAGGAUUAGAUACCCUCGUAAUCUUUGCAGAAAAUGAUGAGUGUUAUAUAUAAAUGAAAGUGUAAGCACUCCACCUCAAGAGUAAUGCGGCAACGCAGGAACUGAAAUCAUUAGACCGUUUCUGAAACCAGUAGUGAAGUAUGUUAUUUAAUUCGAUGAUCCUCGAAUAACCUUACCAUACAAGCGUUGCACGGCUGUCUACAGUUAAUGUUGUGAAAGGUGGUUAGAUCCAGUAAUUAGCGUAAACCC
RNAcentral lists this ribosomal RNA (550 nucleotides) under Acrospermum graminum. RNAcentral describes it as "SSU rRNA". It matches the Rfam family "Bacterial small subunit ribosomal RNA", at positions 423 to 1105 of the family's 1533-position model. Lineage: Eukaryota; Fungi; Ascomycota; Dothideomycetes; Acrospermales; Acrospermaceae. The record is from RNAcentral.